UACGAAGGGGGCUAGCGUUGUUCGGAAUUACUGGGCGUAAAGUGUGCGCAGGCGGCCGAGCAAGUCGAGUGUGAAAGCCCCGAGCUUAACUUGGGAACUGCGCUCGAAACUACUUGGCUAGAGUGUGGCAGAGGGAGGUGGAAUUCCACGUGUAGCGGUGAAAUGCGUAGAGAUGUGGAGGAACACCAGUGGCGAAGGCGGCUUUUUGGUCUGUAACUGACGCUGAGGCGCGAAAGCGUGGGGAGCAAACAGG
Molecule: ribosomal RNA, 253 nt
Filed under: uncultured bacterium
Lineage: Bacteria
Description: partial 16S ribosomal RNA
Rfam family: Bacterial small subunit ribosomal RNA
Source: RNAcentral